GGAGGUCACCUCAGUGGCAGGUGCUCAAGUUGGCCUCUGGGCGGGAGUUCCUGGGCAGCCUCCCUGGGGACAGUGCAGGGGUGGGGCUCUUGACCCCCAAGGACCUGCGGUCUGGGUCGCCUUCCUGAGCUGUCUGUCCAGCAUGCCUCACUAACCCCAGCUGACCUCUGCCAGACAGUGUCCACCCAGGGCCUCACAGGAGUCCCACCAUGGUCCUGGGAGGCGAUACAACUACAGCCCCAUUUUUCAGAUGGGGAAACCGAGGCACAGAGAAGUUUAGGAAGUCACCUGGGCACAGCUGGCAGGGUAUGAACCAGGCGCCUGCCUGGCGCUGGCCUCCCUGCCCCUGCCACUGGGGCAGCGCCCCUGGCGGAGUAGAGGGAGUGUCCCUGGGCUCGAAGUUCGGAUGGGCUCAGCCAGGACUCACAAAGGGUGGUCCGGCUAUUCCCACCACCAGGUGCCCCCUAUCCAUCCAUCCACCUCUCCAAUCAGUCAGAGGCAUGCAUGGCCCGAACCUCACCCCCACCACAAAGGGGGUCCUCGGCCGUCUGGAAUUGGAGCUGAAGCCCUGGGGAAGGCGCCUGGGGCCUCCCUCGGCCAAGGGUCAGGAUGGAGGAAGUGUGGUGGGCAGGGGUGUUUGGAGGCAACACAGCCUCCGUUACAGAACCGUGGACCCUGAGCCUCCCUCUGGCGGGGCAGGGAAGGACAGGAGCCCAAGACCCCCGGCAUCCUGCCCCCAGGGCCCCAUCAGUUCCAGGAGGUCCCUAACUCAAGAGCACCCAUCCCUGCUGAGGAGCAUGGUGUGGGGAGCUGGGCGGGAGGGGCACCCCCAGGCCAAAGCAGACUCUAAUCUUGUGUGGGGGAGGGGCUCUGGGCCUUGGACGGGCUUGCCACCCAAGUUGGGGUGAAAUCAGACCCUUGAAGGCACAAGGUGAGGAAGAGGACGGGUGGGAGGCGGGAGGUGGAAGGUGAAGCCAGACCCCCCCACACACCCUGGGGCAUUGCUGAUAAGGCUCCCUCUGGGCUCAAAGACUGGCUGCAGGGGUACCGGGACUGCAGAGAUUCCUCCUGCAGAGGCUGGACUACCACGUGUCUGGACCGCUCUGGGGGCCCUGACCAGGGAGGCAGGCCUGGGUCUGGUCGCCACCUACUCCUGCAUCAGAAGCAAGCUGUGCAUGUCACCAAUGUGGGAGCCCCCCGGGUAGGACUGGAGCGGGGUGGUGCCCCAGGACCUGUCCAGUCCUCCACUAGAACUCGCAGCACCUCCGUGCUGAACUCAAGGUGCCCGUCGAGGGGAAGUGGGGACUGGAGAUUUACCCCUUCCAUCCUCCUGGCUGGACACCCGCAUGCAGUGAGCCACCUGCAGACUGGAACACUUCAGCCCUGCACUCAAGAGUCAGCAGGUGCGCAGUGACCGAAAGCAGAAACAACCCCGUGCCCAUCAACAGAUGAAGGACACCAAGAUUCAGUCCAUCCGCACGAGGAAGUGCUAUUCAACCCUAAAGAAGAAUGAAGGGCCGGCUCAGGCUGCCUCGUGGACGAACCUUGAAAACACGAUGCUGAGCAAAGGAAGCCAGACACCAUAUUGGUCAAUUCCAUUUAUAUGAAAUUCCAGAACAGGCCAAAGCAGAUGGUGAUGUGGCCGCAGCACACGGAGCAGCUGAGAGACAGGAGCGGAAACGUGGACCUGCUGGGAAACUGCGAGGUGCUGAGCAGAAGGGGCGGGAGCACCACACACUCACGCCUUCAGCGAUGGGGCCAACCGCAUGCCUGGAGCCUCUGGCAGGGAAGCCUGGUACCUCCCCCCAUUCCUCCCCUGCCCCCCGCAGCCCCCGUGGGGCCGGAACCAGCUCCCGGGAACUGUCUGGCUGACCAGAACUGUCACCCCCAUUUCAUUAUUUUAGGGUCUGGAAAUUACUAUUCAU
Bos taurus (domestic cattle) is the source of this 1925-nucleotide long non-coding RNA. The record is from Ensembl. Lineage: Eukaryota; Metazoa; Chordata; Mammalia; Artiodactyla; Bovidae.